This 97-nucleotide microRNA precursor is filed under the name Nicotiana attenuata. Its description in RNAcentral is "MIR6152 microRNA precursor family". It matches the Rfam family "MIR6152 microRNA precursor family". The record is from Rfam by way of RNAcentral. Lineage: Eukaryota; Viridiplantae; Streptophyta; Magnoliopsida; Solanales; Solanaceae.
UGGACAGAUUAUUGUAUUCGACCGUAUUCACGGCGUGAAAAAAGGCAUUACACUGCUUUUAAAACGGAAAGUGAAUCAAUUAACAUAAUAGACUCCU